AGAGUUUGAUUCUGGCUCAGAACGAACGCUGGCGGCGUGGAUGAGGCAUGCAAGUCGAACGAUCACUCGCAUGUAGCAAUAUAUGCGGGUGGGAGUGGCGUAGGGUGAGUAAUACGUGGGCAAUCUGCCCUCAAGUUGGGGAUAACCGGCGAAACGUGGCUAAUACCGAAUGUGGUCGAUAGCCGCGCACGCAUCCAAAGGCGGGGACCGCAAGGCCUGUCGCUUGGGGAUGAGCUCACGUCCUAUCAGCUUGUUGGUGAGGUAACGGCUCACCAAGGCUUACGGGUAGCUGGUCUGAGAGGAUGGUCAGCCACACUGGGACUGAGACACUGCCCAGACUCCUACGGGAGGCUGCAGUCGAGAAUCUUUCGCAAUGGGCGCAAGCCUGACGAAGCGACGCCGCGUGCAGGAUGAAGGCCUUCGGGUCGUAAACUGCUGUCUUCCGGGAGCAAUAGGCCGGGCGAUAACACCGCCUGGACUUGAUAGUACCGGAGAAGGAAGCCACGGCUAACUCUGUGCCAGCAGCCGCGGUAAUACAGAGGUGGCAAGCGUUGUUCGGAUUUACUGGGCGUAAAGGGUGCGUAGGCGGUUCUGCGUGUCGGGUGUGAAAUCCCACGGAUUAUCUGUGGAACGGCAUUCGAAACUGCAGGGCUAGAGUGUCGGAGAGGAGGGCGGAAUUCUCGGUGUAGCGGUGAAAUGCGUUGAUAUCGAGAGGAACGCCGGUGACGAAGGUGGCUCUCUGGACGACUACUGACGCUGAGGCACGAAAGCUAGGGGAGCAAACAGGAUUAGAUACCCUGGUAGUCCUAGGCGUAAACGGUGUGCACUUGGUGUGGGAGGAAUUAUCCCCUUCCGUGCCGAACUAACGCGAUAAGUGCACCGCCUGGGGAGUACGGGCGCAAGGCUAAAACUCAAAGGAAUUGACGGGGGCCCGCACAAGCGGUGGAGCAUGUGGCUUAAUUCGAUGCAACGCGAAGAACCUUACCUGGGCUUGACAUGUAACUGCGCCGCCGGGAAACCGGGGAAGCCUUCGAGGGUGUUACACAGGUGCUGCAUGGCUGUCGUCAGCUCGUGCCGUGAGGUGUUAGGUUAAGUCCUGCAACGAGCGCAACCCCUGUGACUAGUUGCCAUCGGGUCAUGCCGGGCACUCUAGUCAGACUGCCUGUGAUAAGCAGGAGGAAGGUGGGGAUGACGUCAAGUCAGUAUGGUCCUUAUGCCCAGGGCCACACGUGCUACAAUGAUCAGUACAGAGGGAGCGAGACCGCGAGGUGGAGCAAAUCCCAGAAAACCGAUCACAGUUCAGAUUGGAGUCUGCAACUCGACUCCAUGAAGCCGGAAUCGCUAGUAAUGGCGCAUCAGCUACGGCGCCGUGAAUACGUUCCCGGGCCUUGUACACACCGCCCGUCACACCAUGGGAGUUUGUGCACCAGAAGCAGGUAGUCUAACCGAAAGGAGGCGCUUGCCACGGUUUGGCCGAUGACUGGGGUGAAGUCGUAACAAGU
Molecule: ribosomal RNA, 1502 nt
Filed under: uncultured bacterium
Lineage: Bacteria
Description: bacterial SSU rRNA
Rfam family: Bacterial small subunit ribosomal RNA
Source: RNAcentral